ACCUGGCUGACUCAGUGGGAGAGCAUGGGACUCUUGAUCUCGGGGUUGUGAGUUCAAACCCCAUGUUGGGUG
This 72-nucleotide transfer RNA is filed under the name Felis catus (domestic cat). It matches the Rfam family "tRNA". Rfam says of the family: Transfer RNA (tRNA) molecules are approximately 80 nucleotides in length. Their secondary structure includes four short double-helical elements and three loops (D, anti-codon, and T loops). The record is from Rfam by way of RNAcentral. Lineage: Eukaryota; Metazoa; Chordata; Mammalia; Carnivora; Felidae.